UUUACAAACCCUCAAAGGGCUCCAUAAAUGGUAGCUAUUAUUAUUAUAAAUUUGGAGCCAAAAGGGCCCUUUAAGCCAUCUCAUCCAAUUCCCUUAGUUAAUGGAUGAGCAAGCCAGGGCUGGGAGAGGAAAUGUAACUUGCCCAGGAUCACCCAAGAUAUCAGGUGGCAGAAGAAGGAAUAGAGCCAGAUCUUCGUGAUUUGGCAAUCAAUGUUCUAUCCAGUACACUGUCACCUCCUUGGGCUGGAGCGGGGGGAGAGGAGGAGGGCGGAGGAGAAAGAGAGAGACAGAGAGAAUCAGUCUUGCUUUGAAAGUUUUGAGAACCUUUGGUUCUGUUUUAGAAAAGGACACAUGUUGCGUACUGCGCAGGAAAAAGUUAGAGGAAGCCCAUGAGUUAGGACUUCUAUGCAUUCAGGUUGUCAGAAAGCAGUAGCCUGCGAUGGCUGGGCAUACGAGCGUGAGUGCACACACGCGCGCACACACACACACACACAGUGUGACAGAUGACCUAUUGAAAUAAUUUCAGAGCAGCUCGGUGGUUGCUACGACAACCAAUGCUCUCUUGGCUUUCAUCUGGCCAUGUGACAGCGACUUUGACGUCAGCUGGAGGCAGAGUCUGUGGUUUAGUCCACCGAGCCAAAGGCUUGUGAGAAUCUCUUGGAUGCUGGACUUAUCUCCGCUCGCUGCCUCUGCUGCCACCGCUGCCGCCACUACCGCCGCCGCCGCCGCUACUGCUGCUGCUCCCGCAGCCACCGCUGCUUUCCAGGGGUUGUCGGAACAUGGACUAUUAAACUCCUGCAUUUCUUCCGUGUGAGACUUCCCCUCAUGCACUGUGUUCCAGCUGAACUAACUUACUUAGUAUUCUUUGUGGAUGACAAUUCAUCUCGUGCCCCUGUGCCUAGACUGCCCCCAGUACUAGGUAUGCAUUCCCUUCCACCUCCGAUUCUGAGAAUCCUUAGUUUCCCCUUAAGGCUCAACUCAAACAUUAUCUUCCAACAACAUCCAAUUGGAUAAUACCCCACAAAAAUUACUUUAUAUAAAGUUUAUGCUCAUUUCUAGGUACACAUUUUGUCUUUCCUCUCCACCCCAACCUCUAUGAGAAUGUUUGUUUCACCAGGAUUCUAGGAUUCUCCAAGAGUAUAAGUCGCGAAUUUGGUGCCUAUGUGCAUUGGUAAAGGGAAUUCCUUCAUUAGAAGUUCCCUGUAUCAAUGAAAAUCCAAGUCUAGUCCCCAACCCCACCUCCAGGACCUAGCACAGAAUCUAGCCCAUAGUCACCACUUAAUCGAUCCUUAUUGAAUUAAUUCAUCAUAAUUUGGAUAAUGUUUACCUAGAAGAGAUCUUAGAGGGCAUCAAAUCCAACUCCUUCAUGUUGUAUGACAAAGGAAACCAAGGCAUAGAGGAAAUAAAGUGACUUAUCCAAGAUCA
RNAcentral lists this long non-coding RNA (1425 nucleotides) under Monodelphis domestica (gray short-tailed opossum). Its description in RNAcentral is "lncRNA (ENSMODG00000045043.1)". Lineage: Eukaryota; Metazoa; Chordata; Mammalia; Didelphimorphia; Didelphidae. The record is from RNAcentral.